Bolinopsis microptera is the source of this 277-nucleotide long non-coding RNA. RefSeq lists it as uncharacterized. The record is from RefSeq and is a predicted model, not a curated record. The transcript has 2 exons. Lineage: Eukaryota; Metazoa; Ctenophora; Tentaculata; Lobata; Bolinopsidae.
AGCUUAGAAGCAAAAAUAAAUAUGGGUUGUAAAUGUGGAAGCGGAUGCAAAUGCUCCAACUGCUGCAAAUGUCCUAAUGGCUGCAAAUGCGGAAAGAAAUGCUGCCCAUGCUGCAAUUGCUCUUAAACAGAUCGGAGAGAGAUUAUUGCUACGCACUGGACCUCUCAUCAUCCGACAAAGAGAUCCUUAAUCGAAUAGACUCUUUUUUAGAGAUCUUUAUUUUUUUGAAAAAUGGUCGUUGACUUAAGAAUGUAGAUUUGAUUGACAAAUCCUAUAA